This 340-nucleotide ribosomal RNA is filed under the name Salmonella enterica subsp. enterica serovar Haifa. Its description in RNAcentral is "partial 23S ribosomal RNA". It matches the Rfam family "Bacterial large subunit ribosomal RNA", at positions 1213 to 1554 of the family's 2925-position model. The record is from RNAcentral. Lineage: Bacteria; Pseudomonadati; Pseudomonadota; Gammaproteobacteria; Enterobacterales; Enterobacteriaceae.
GCUGAUGCGUUGUUGGGUAGGGGAGCGUUCUGUAAGCCUGCGAAGGUGGCCUGUGAGGGUUGCUGGAGGUAUCAGAAGUGCGAAUGCUGACAUAAGUAACGAUAAAGCGGGUGAAAAGCCCGCUCGCCGGAAGACCAAGGGUUCCUGUCCAACGUUAAUCGGGGCAGGGUGAGUCGACCCCUAAGGCGAGGCCGAAAGGCGUAGUCGAUGGGAAACGGGUUAAUAUUCCCGUACUUGGUGUUACUGCGAAGGGGGGACGGAGAAGGCUAUGUUGGCCGGGCGACGGUUGUCCCGGUUUAAGCGUGUAGGUGUGUGUUCCAGGUAAAUCCGGUUCACUUUA